UCGAAGCCCUCGAACUCCUCUCCCCAGCCCCUGCAUCAUCGGAGCCACCUCGGACCUGGCAUCCCCCCAUCGGAUCAUGUAGUCUCGAGCCCGCAUCCCCAAGCUCCCCCUUCUUCCCGACAGCCUCCCAAAGCCACCAUCCCACCGCCCCGACCUCCCCCUUCUUCUUGACCUCCCUCCAUGUUCCCCCACCAUCGUGCCCUGC
RNAcentral lists this long non-coding RNA (205 nucleotides) under Elaeis guineensis (African oil palm). Its description in RNAcentral is "long non-coding RNA (EGUI_LNC026841)". Lineage: Eukaryota; Viridiplantae; Streptophyta; Magnoliopsida; Arecales; Arecaceae. The record is from RNAcentral.